This 814-nucleotide ribosomal RNA is filed under the name uncultured fungus. RNAcentral describes it as "LSU rRNA". It matches the Rfam family "Eukaryotic large subunit ribosomal RNA", at positions 400 to 1236 of the family's 3401-position model. Lineage: Eukaryota; Fungi. The record is from RNAcentral.
UGAAAUUGUUGAAAGGGAAGCGCUUGCAGCCAGACUUGCUUACAGUUGCUCAUCCGGGCUUUUGCCCGGUGCACUCUUCUGUAGGCAGGCCAGCAUCAGUUUGGGCGGUAGGAUAAAGGUCUCUGUCACGUACCUCUCUUCGGGGAGGCCUUAUAGGGGAGACGACAUGCUACCAGCCUGGACUGAGGUCCGCGCAUCUGCUAGGAUGCUGGCGUAAUGGCUGUAAGCGGCCCGUCUUGAAACACGGACCAAGGAGUCUAACAUCUAUGCGAGUGUUUGGGUGUCAAGCCCGAGCGCGUAAUGAAAGUGAACGGAGGUAGGAACCCGCAAGGGUGCACUAUCGACCGAUCCUGAUGUCUUCGGAAGGAUUUGAGUAAGAGCAUGGCUGUUGGGACCCGAAAGAUGGUGAACUAUGCUUGAAUAGGGUGAAGCCAGAGGAAACUCUGGUGGAGGCUCGCAGCGGUUCUGACGUGCAAAUCGAUCGUCAAAUUUGGGCAUAGGGGCGAAAGACUAAUCGAACUAUCUAGUAGCUGGUUCCUGCCGAAGUUUCCCUCAGGAUAGCAGUAACGUAUUCAGUUUUAUGAGGUAAAGCGAAUGAUUAGAGGCCUGGGGGUCGAAAUGACCUUCACCUAUUCUCAAACUUUAAAUAUGUAAGAAGUCCUUGUUACUUAAUUGAACGUGGACAGUUGAAUGAAACGUUAUUAGUGGGCCAUUUUUGGUAAGCAGAACUGGCGAUGCGGGAUGAACCGAACGAGGGGUUAAAGUGCCGGAAUACACGCUCAUCAGACACCACAAAAGGUGUUGGUUCAUCUAG